UGGGGAAUAUUGCACAAUGGGCGCAAGCCUGAUGCAGCAACGCCGCGUGAACGAUGAAGGACUUCGGAUCGUAAAGUUCUGUUGCAGGGGAAGAUAAUGACGGUACCCUGUGAGGAAGCCCCGGCUAACUACGUGCCAGCAGCCGCGGUAAUACGUAGGGGGCUAGCGUUAUCCGGAUUUACUGGGCGUAAAGGGUGCGUAGGUGGUCUUUCAAGUCGGUGGUUAAAGGCUACGGCUCAACCGUAGUUAGCCUCCGAAACUGGAAGACUUGAGUGCAGGAGAGGAAAGUGGAAUUCCCAGUGUAGCGGUGAAAUGCGUAGAUAUUGGGAGGAACACCAGUAGCGAAGGCGGCUUUCUGGACUGCAACUGACACUGAGGCACGAAAGCGUGGGUAGCAAACAGG
This 403-nucleotide ribosomal RNA is filed under the name Verrucomicrobiota bacterium. RNAcentral's name for it is "Verrucomicrobia bacterium partial 16S ribosomal RNA". It matches the Rfam family "Bacterial small subunit ribosomal RNA", at positions 355 to 776 of the family's 1533-position model. Lineage: Bacteria; Pseudomonadati; Verrucomicrobiota. The record is from RNAcentral.